CCUACGGGCGGCAGCAGUGAGGAAUAUUGGUCAAUGGCCGAGAGGCUGAACCAGCCAAGUCGCGUGAGGGAUGACGGCUCUUCGGGUUGUAAACCUCUUUUGUCGGGGAGCAAAGAGAGUCACGUGUGGCUCAUUGAGAGUACCCGAAGAAAAAGCAUCGGCUAACUUCGUGCCAGCAGCCGUGGUAAUCCGGAGGAUGCGAGUGUUAUCCGGAUUUAUUGGGUUUAAAGGGUGCGCAGGCGGAGGUGCAAGUCAGUGGUCAACUUGCGGGGCUCAACCCCGUACUGCAGUUGAAACUGCAUCCCUUGAGUGCGCGAGAGGUAUGCGGAAUGCGUGGUGUAGCGGUGAAAUGCAUAGAUAUCACGCAGAACUCCGAUUGCGAAGGCAG
This 388-nucleotide ribosomal RNA is filed under the name uncultured bacterium. RNAcentral's name for it is "partial 16S ribosomal RNA". It matches the Rfam family "Bacterial small subunit ribosomal RNA", at positions 338 to 724 of the family's 1533-position model. The record is from RNAcentral.